This 405-nucleotide ribosomal RNA is filed under the name uncultured bacterium. Its description in RNAcentral is "partial 16S ribosomal RNA". It matches the Rfam family "Bacterial small subunit ribosomal RNA", at positions 28 to 526 of the family's 1533-position model. The record is from RNAcentral.
GAUGAACGCUGGCGGCGUGCCUAAUACAUGCAAGUCGAGCGAAGCGGGGACGGGUGAGUAACACGUGGAUAACAUCCUAUAAGACGGGGAUAAAUUCGGGAAACCGGAGCUAAACCGGUUACUUAUAGAUGGAACCGCGAGUCAUUAGCUAGUUGGUAAGGUAACGGCUUACCAAGGCAACGAUGCAUAGCUGACCUGAGAGGGUGAUCGGCCACACUGGAACUGAGACACGGUCCAGACUCCUACGGGAGGCAGCAGUAGGGAAUCUUCCGCAAUGGGCGCAAGCCUGACGGAGCCACGCCGCGGGUGUGAUGAAGGUCUUCGGAUCGUAAAACUCUGUUAUUAGGGAAGCGGUACCUAAUCAGAAAGCCACGGCUAACUACGUGCCAGCAGCCGCGGUAAUUC